This 497-nucleotide ribosomal RNA is filed under the name uncultured bacterium. RNAcentral's name for it is "partial 16S ribosomal RNA". It matches the Rfam family "Bacterial small subunit ribosomal RNA", at positions 28 to 507 of the family's 1533-position model. The record is from RNAcentral.
GAUGAACGCUGGCGGCGUGCCUAAUACAUGCAAGUCGAGCGAACGGACGAGAAGCUUGCUUCUCUGAUGUUAGCGGCGGACGGGUGAGUAACACGUGGAUAACCUACCUAUAAGACUGGGAUAACUUCGGGAAACCGGAGCUAAUACCGGAUAAUAUUUUGAACCGCAUGGUUCAAAAGUGAAAGACGGUCUUGCUGUCACUUAUAGAUGGAUCCGCGCUGCAUUAGCUAGUUGGUAAGGUAACGGCUUACCAAGGCAACGAUGCAUAGCCGACCUGAGAGGGAGAUCGGCCACACUGGAACUGAGACACGGUCCAGACUCCUACGGGAGGCAGCAGUAGGGAAUCUUCCGCAAUGGGCGAAAGCCUGACGGAGCAACGCCGCGUGAGGGAUGAAGGUCUUCGGAUCGUAAAACUCUGUUAUUAGGGAAGAACAUAUGUGUAAGUAACUGUGCACAUCUUGACGGUACCUAAUCAGAAAGCCACGGCUAACUACGUG